UGCCUACGGGGGGCAGCAGUGAGGAAUAUUGGUCAAUGGCCGGAAGGCUGAACCAACCAAGUCGCGUGAGGGACGACUGCCCUAUGGGUUGUAAACCUCUUUUAUAAGGGAAGAAUAAAUGCUACGUGUAGCAUGAUGCCUGUACCUUAUGAAUAAGCAUCGGCUAACUACGUGCCAGCAGCCGCGGUAAUACGUAGGUGGCAAGCGUUAUCCGGAUUUAUUGGGUGUAAAGGGCGUGUAGGCGGGAGCGGAAGUCAGAUGUGAAAACUCAGGGCU
Molecule: ribosomal RNA, 276 nt
Filed under: uncultured bacterium
Lineage: Bacteria
Description: partial 16S ribosomal RNA
Rfam family: Bacterial small subunit ribosomal RNA
Source: RNAcentral